This 383-nucleotide ribosomal RNA is filed under the name uncultured bacterium. Its description in RNAcentral is "bacterial SSU rRNA". It matches the Rfam family "Bacterial small subunit ribosomal RNA", at positions 335 to 704 of the family's 1533-position model. The record is from RNAcentral.
ACUCCUACGGGAGGCAGCAGUGGGGAAUAUUGCACAAUGGGGGAAACCCGUACGAUGCAGCCAUGCCGCGUGUGUGAAGAAGGCCUCGGUUGUAAAGCACUUCUAGUAGGAGGAAGGUAGUGUAGUUAACACCUGCAUUAUUUGUACGUUACCUACAGAAGAAGCACCGGCUAACUCCGUGCCAGCAGCCGCGGUAAGUACGGAGGGUGCGAGCGUUAAUCGGAAUUACUGGGCGUAAAGCGCAUGCAGGCGGCCUGUUAAGUUCAGAUGUGAAAGCCCGGGGUCGUUAACCUCGGAAUUGCAUUUGAAACUGGCGAGGCUAGAGUCUUGUAGAGGGGUUAGGAAUUUCAGGUGUAGCGGUGAAAUGCGUAGAGAUCUGAAGG